UUAUCAUUUAGAGGAAGGAGAAGUCGUAACAAGGUUUCCGUAGGUGAACCUGCGGAAGGAUCAUUGUCGGUGCCACGCAAAAAGAGCGACCCGAGAACCGGUUGGAACAAAACUCUGGCGGGGGAGGCCGAGGCCCACCCCCGACAACCAAACCCCGGCGCCCCAGGCGCCAAGGAAACGAAGCGAAGCAAGGCACUCGUGCCAUUUGCAUCCGAAACGACUCUCGGCAACGGAUAUCUCGGCUCUCGCAUCGAUGAAGAACGUAGCGAAAUGCGAUACUUGGUGUGAAUUGCAGAAUCCCGUGAACCAUCGAGUCUUUGAACGCAAGUUGCGCCCGAAGCCGCUAGGCCGAGGGCACGUCUGCCUGGGUGUCACGCAACGUCGCCAGCGCCCGAUCCUCCGGGCGCGGCGGAUGAUGGCCUCCCGGGAGCCUCGCCUCCCGGCCGGCCGAAAAAGGGGCCCUACGUGACGGCCGCCACGAUCCACGGUGGUUGAGUGAGCAUUCGCUCGAGGCCAAGACGUGCGCGCGUCGUCCCACGGCGGGGGCCAGUCGGACGGGGCACAGCCCGCCCACUCGUAAGCGACCCCAGGUCAGGCGGGGCUACCCGCUGAGUUUAAGCAUAUCAA
This 627-nucleotide unclassified non-coding RNA is filed under the name Albizia kalkora. Its description in RNAcentral is "partial contains small subunit ribosomal RNA, internal transcribed spacer 1, 5.8S ribosomal RNA, internal transcribed spacer 2, and large subunit ribosomal RNA". The stretch from base 219 to 374 matches the Rfam family "5.8S ribosomal RNA". The record is from RNAcentral. Lineage: Eukaryota; Viridiplantae; Streptophyta; Magnoliopsida; Fabales; Fabaceae.